RNAcentral lists this ribosomal RNA (711 nucleotides) under Solibacillus silvestris. Its description in RNAcentral is "bacterial SSU rRNA". It matches the Rfam family "Bacterial small subunit ribosomal RNA", at positions 199 to 897 of the family's 1533-position model. Lineage: Bacteria; Bacillati; Bacillota; Bacilli; Caryophanales; Caryophanaceae. The record is from RNAcentral.
GUUGAAAGAUGGUUUCGGCUAUCACUAUAGGAUGGGCCCGCGGCGCAUUAGCUAGUUGGUAGGGUAACGGCCUACCAAGGCGACGAUGCGUAGCCGACCUGAGAGGGUGAUCGGCCACACUGGGACUGAGACACGGCCCAGACUCCUACGGGAGGCAGCAGUAGGGAAUCUUCCACAAUGGACGAAAGUCUGAUGGAGCAACGCCGCGUGAGUGAAGAAGGUUUUCGGAUCGUAAAACUCUGUUGUAAGGGAAGAACAAGUACAGUAGUAACUGGCUGUACCUUGACGGUACCUUAUUAGAAAGCCACGGCUAACUACGUGCCAGCAGCCGCGGUAAUACGUAGGUGGGCAAGCGUUGUCCGGAAUUAUUGGGCGUAAAGCGCGCGCAGGCGGUCCUUUAAGUCUGAUGUGAAAGCCCUCGGCUCAACCGAGGAGGGUCAUUGGAAACUGGAGGACUUGAGUGCAGAAGAGGAAAGUGGAAUUCYAAGUGUAGCGGUGAAAUGCGUAGAGAUUUGGAGGAACACCAGUGGCGAAGGCGACUUUCUGGUCUGUAACUGACGCUGAGGCSCGAAAGCGUGGGGGAGCAAACAGGAUUAGAUACCCUGGUAGUCCACGCCGUAAACGAUGAGUGCUAGUGUUAGGGGGUUUCCGCCCCUUAGUGCUGCAGCUACGCAUUAAGCACUCCGCCUGGGGAGUACGGUCSCAGACUGA